This 194-nucleotide ribosomal RNA is filed under the name uncultured bacterium. Its description in RNAcentral is "partial 16S ribosomal RNA". It matches the Rfam family "Bacterial small subunit ribosomal RNA", at positions 338 to 524 of the family's 1533-position model. The record is from RNAcentral.
CCUACGGGAGGCAGCAGUGGGGAAUAUUGGACAAUGGGCGGAAGCCUGAUCCAGCCAUGCCGCGUGUGUGAAGAAGGUCUUCGGAUUGUAAAGCACUUUAAGUUGGGAGGAAGGGCAGUUACCUAAUACGUGAUUGGUUUGACGUUACCGACAGAAUAAGCACCGGCUAACUCUGUGCCAGCAGCCGCGGUAAU